AUUGAACGCUGGCGGCAGGCCUAACACAUGCAAGUCGAGCGAGCGGCGGACGGGUGAGUAAUGUCUGGGAAACUGCCUGAUGGAGGGGGAUAACUACUGGAAACGGUAGCUAAUACCGCAUACCAUCAGAAGUGCCCAGAUGGGAGUAGCUAGUGGGUGGGGUAACGGCUCACCUAGGCAACGAUCCCUAGCUGGUCUGAGAGGCUGACCAGCCACACGGGAACUGAGACACGGUCCAGACCCCUACGGUAGGCAGCAGUGGGGAAUAUUGCACAAUUGGCGCAGGCCUGAUACAGCCAUGCCGCGUGUGUGAAGAAGGCCUUCGGGUUGUAAAGCACUUUCAGCGGGGAGGCGUUACCCGCAGAAGAAGCACCGGCUAACUCCGUGCCAGCAGCCGCGGUAAUAC
This 406-nucleotide ribosomal RNA is filed under the name uncultured bacterium. RNAcentral's name for it is "partial 16S ribosomal RNA". It matches the Rfam family "Bacterial small subunit ribosomal RNA", at positions 30 to 526 of the family's 1533-position model. The record is from RNAcentral.